AAAGUCGUAACAAGGUUUCCGUAGGUGAACCUGCGGAAGGAUCAUUAACAAAUCUUUUAUAUGUACAGCGCGUACAUAUAUAUUUACCCCGAGCCUGGCAGUAAUAUGCCGGCUUUGGUUGGGCAGGUGCGCAAGCAUUUGCUCCGGUCGUGUGCGCUUCAGGGCCUCCGGGUCUUGAUGCAUGUGCAUGGCCACAUAGACGCUUGUAUGUUUGACAGAGUUACAGUUGUAAAACUAAAAUGACAACUUUUAACAAUGGAUCUCUUGGCUCUU
This 273-nucleotide unclassified non-coding RNA is filed under the name Rozellomycota sp. Its description in RNAcentral is "Cryptomycota sp. partial contains small subunit ribosomal RNA, internal transcribed spacer 1, and 5.8S ribosomal RNA". The stretch from base 1 to 47 matches the Rfam family "Eukaryotic small subunit ribosomal RNA", at positions 1785 to 1831 of the family's 1831-position model. Lineage: Eukaryota; Fungi; Rozellomycota. The record is from RNAcentral.